Molecule: ribosomal RNA, 253 nt
Filed under: uncultured bacterium
Lineage: Bacteria
Description: partial 16S ribosomal RNA
Rfam family: Bacterial small subunit ribosomal RNA
Source: RNAcentral
UACGUAGGAUCCAAGCGUUGUCCGAAUUUACUGGGUGUAAAGGGUGCGCAGGCGGACUGGUAAGUCAGAGGUGAAAUCUCGUCGCAUAACGACGAAACUGCCUUUGAUACUAUCAGUCUUGAGUCCGGUAGAGAUCUGUGGAAUUCCGAGUGUAGCAGUGAAAUGUGUAGAUAUUCGGAAGAACACCAGUGGCGAAGGCGGCAGAUUGGGCCGGUACUGACGCUCAGGGACGAAAGCGUGGGGAUCAAACAGG